Molecule: ribosomal RNA, 305 nt
Filed under: uncultured bacterium
Lineage: Bacteria
Description: bacterial SSU rRNA
Rfam family: Bacterial small subunit ribosomal RNA
Source: RNAcentral
CCUCUACGGGGCGCAGCAGUGAGGGAUAUUGGUCAAUGGGAGAGAUCCUGAACCAGCCAAGCCGCGUGAGGGAAGACGGCCCUAUGGGUUGUAAACCUCUUUUGUCGGGGAGCAAAAGACGCCACGCGUGGCGUUCCGAGAGUACCCGAAGAAAAAGCAUCGGCUAACUCCGUGCCAGCAGCCGCGGUAAUACGGAGGAUGCGAGCGUUAUCCGGAUUUAUUGGGUUUAAAGGGUGCGCAGGCGGAAGAUCAAGUCAGCGGUAAAAUUGAGAGGCUCAACCUCUUCGAGCCGUUGAAACUGGUUU